UGUGUGAGUGUGUGUGUGUGCUGCUCUGAAUCUGACAGCACGCUGGAGCUGCGUUUCCAAAGAAAAGCUCAGCUCUCUCAGUUUUUCUGCCCGCUCUCAUUGUGUUUGUCGACAGUGAUAAAGAGAGCAGUUGAAGCGGGGGCCUGUUUUGGAAUAAGAAAAGCAUUGCUGUUUUCUGACUUUGAGGGAAGAAAGAAGGGACUCCUCUGGAAUUUCCUCAGGAAUUUAUCCGGACAGCCCCGUCACCGGGGUUUUGCAUUCUUCCGCCUGGCAAUAUAAUGUGACCAACGAUUCCACAGUAGGGAGAUUCUGAGGAGUUCACUUCUUUCAUCACUCUGGUUCGAGGCAGCAAUCGCGAUCAAUUAUUCCAAACUGGUGGGGUCAAAAAGGGGGCAGUUAGUCUCAGUGGUGUGUCGGCGAGGUCAAACUA
Molecule: long non-coding RNA, 430 nt
Organism: Cheilinus undulatus (humphead wrasse)
Lineage: Eukaryota; Metazoa; Chordata; Actinopteri; Labriformes; Labridae
Exons: 6
Source: RefSeq, a predicted model, not a curated record